RNAcentral lists this transfer RNA (72 nucleotides) under Synechococcus phage Syn19. It matches the Rfam family "tRNA". Rfam says of the family: Transfer RNA (tRNA) molecules are approximately 80 nucleotides in length. Their secondary structure includes four short double-helical elements and three loops (D, anti-codon, and T loops). Further hydrogen bonds mediate the characteristic L-shaped molecular structure. tRNAs have two regions of fundamental functional importance: the anti-codon, which is responsible for specific mRNA codon recognition, and the 3' end, to which the tRNAs corresponding amino acid is attached (by aminoacyl-tRNA synthetases). tRNAs cope with the degeneracy of the genetic code in two manners: having more than one tRNA (with a specific anti-codon) for a particular amino acid; and 'wobble' base-pairing, i.e. permitting non-standard base-pairing at the 3rd anti-codon position. RNAcentral also lists the same sequence under 1 other name. The record is from Rfam by way of RNAcentral. Lineage: Duplodnaviria; Heunggongvirae; Uroviricota; Caudoviricetes; Pantevenvirales; Kyanoviridae.
UCCUCUUUAGCUCAGCGGUAGAGCGGUUGACUGUUAAUCAAUUGGUCCCUGGUUCGAUCCCAGGAAGGGGAG